UACGUAGGGUGCAAGCGUUGUCCGGAAUUAUUGGGCGUAAAGAGCUCGUAGGCGGUUUGUCACGUCGGAUGUGAAAACCCGAGGCUUAACCUCGGGCCUGCAUUCGAUACGGGCUGACUAGAGUUCGGUAGGGGAGACUGGAAUUCCUGGUGUAGCGGUGAAAUGCGCAGAUAUCAGGAGGAACACCGGUGGCGAAGGCGGGUCUCUGGGCAACAACUGACGCUGAGGAGCGAAAGCGUGGGGAGCGAACAGG
Molecule: ribosomal RNA, 253 nt
Filed under: uncultured bacterium
Lineage: Bacteria
Description: partial 16S ribosomal RNA
Rfam family: Bacterial small subunit ribosomal RNA
Source: RNAcentral